This is a long non-coding RNA of Austrofundulus limnaeus, 563 nucleotides long. RefSeq lists it as uncharacterized. The transcript is spliced from 4 exons. NCBI's taxonomy places the organism in Eukaryota, Metazoa, Chordata, Actinopteri, Cyprinodontiformes, Rivulidae. The record is from RefSeq and is a predicted model, not a curated record.
CUCGCUGCACCGCUAUAUGCGUUAGCAUGCUAAUGUUAUUGUUGCAGUGGCGGCUGGCGAUUCCGCUUCCUAUAUUGGCUGAAGUWAAAAAAAAAACAUCCAGUUUUCACCGUCGCUGAAUCUAGUAAACACCUCUUCAGUGACAUGCAUGGUUAGAUAUAACGCGACUUUAAUAUGGAGACAUGGAGACGCAUGGAGAGUUUAGAGUAAUUCUAUUGUGAAAAACCGGGGGUAAAACGUUUUGUAGUGGAAUUGACUGACUGGUGUGCAAGGAGAAGAAAAGACGUUUAGAGGAGGGAAACAGCGACACAGACAGAGAAAAACUGAAGCAAUGGUGUUUGGUCCCUGAGAGGAUUCUGUAGGACCCUGGUUUUACUCCACUGGCUGCCUGAUGAUGAUGAGGAACUUCAGCAGCAGCAGAGCCAGAUGCUGCUGCUCAGGCUCCAAACCAUCAGAGGCCUUUUGGACGCACUGCAGCAGCUGGUGGCGCAGAACCUGCAGGAUGUUGUCGGGCAGGAGCGACAACACGGGCGGGACCUCGUCAGGUCUGGGAACACGGAGAG